GUAGGUCAAAUUUCCCGAGUAAGGAAAAUUUCUCGGUUAGAAACUUGAAAAAUCCAAGUCACUGAGUAGUCGUGAAACUUUCGAGCACCGAGGUGUAGUAGCAUAUGGUAAGAGUCCCCCAAGUCUCCGGUCGAGGGAGCUGAUGAAUGAGGUGUAUUGCUAGUAGCCAAGUUUACAAAGUAACAAAACUUCAUCCUUUUCUUUUCUAAGUGGUAGCCCAAAACUCCUUUAUAUGAUCACGAAGGAUGAUACAUUUCU
RNAcentral lists this long non-coding RNA (258 nucleotides) under Malus domestica (apple). RNAcentral describes it as "long non-coding RNA (MDOM_LNC003922)". Lineage: Eukaryota; Viridiplantae; Streptophyta; Magnoliopsida; Rosales; Rosaceae. The record is from RNAcentral.